This 860-nucleotide ribosomal RNA is filed under the name uncultured bacterium. RNAcentral describes it as "bacterial SSU rRNA". It matches the Rfam family "Bacterial small subunit ribosomal RNA", at positions 56 to 922 of the family's 1533-position model. The record is from RNAcentral.
UGCAAGUCGAACGGAGAUAUAUAUUUAGUUUACUAGAAAUAUAUCUUAGUGGCGGACGGGUGAGUAACACGUGGGCAACCUGCCUUAGAGUGGGGGAUAACAGCGAGAAAUCGUUGCUAAUACCGCAUGAAAUUAGAGUUUUGCAUGAAACUUUAAUGAAAGGAGAAAUCCGCUAUAAGAUGGGCCCGCGCCUGAUUAGCUAGUUGGUGAGGUAACAGCUCACCAAGGCGACGAUCAGUAGCCGAUCUGAGAGGAUGACCGGCCACACUGGAACUGAGACACGGUCCAGACUCCUACGGGAGGCAGCAGUGGGGAAUAUUGCACAAUGGGGGAAACCCUGAUGCAGCAACGCCGCGUGGAGGAAGAAGGUUUUCGGAUUGUAAACUCCUGUCUUUUGGGACGAUAAUGACGGUACCAAAAGAGGAAGCCACGGCUAACUACGUGCCAGCAGCCGCGGUAAUACGUAGGUGGCGAGCGUUGUCCGGAAUUACUGGGCGUAAAGGGCGCGUAGGCGGCUAAUCAAGUCAGAUGUGAAAACCCUAGGCUUAACCUGGGGAUUGCAUUUGAAACUGACUAGCUCGAGUGUCGGAGAGGAAAGCGGAAUUCCUAGUGUAGCGGUGAAAUGCGUAGAUAUUAGGAGGAACACCAGUGGCGAAGGCGGCUUUCUGGACGAUAACUGACGCUGAGGCGCGAAAGCGUGGGGAGCAAACAGGAUUAGAUACCCUGGUAGUCCACGCCGUAAACGAUGGAUACUAGGUGUGGGAGGUAUCGAACCCUUCCGUGCCGCAGUAAACGCAAUAAGUAUCCCGCCUGGGGAGUACGGGCCGCAGGUUGAAACUCAAAGGAAUUGACGGGGGCCC